GGAGGGGUGGCCGAGCGGCUGAAGGCGCACGCUUGGAAAGCGUGUAGGCGGGUAACUGUCUCGAGGGUUCGAAUCCCUCUCCCUCCGCCA
RNAcentral lists this transfer RNA (90 nucleotides) under Bdellovibrionales bacterium. RNAcentral describes it as "tRNA-Ser". It matches the Rfam family "tRNA". From Rfam's summary of the family: Transfer RNA (tRNA) molecules are approximately 80 nucleotides in length. Their secondary structure includes four short double-helical elements and three loops (D, anti-codon, and T loops). Further hydrogen bonds mediate the characteristic L-shaped molecular structure. tRNAs have two regions of fundamental functional importance: the anti-codon, which is responsible for specific mRNA codon recognition, and the 3' end, to which the tRNAs corresponding amino acid is attached (by aminoacyl-tRNA synthetases). tRNAs cope with the degeneracy of the genetic code in two manners: having more than one tRNA (with a specific anti-codon) for a particular amino acid; and 'wobble' base-pairing, i.e. permitting non-standard base-pairing at the 3rd anti-codon position. RNAcentral also lists the same sequence under 1 other name. Lineage: Bacteria; Pseudomonadati; Bdellovibrionota; Bdellovibrionia; Bdellovibrionales. The record is from RNAcentral.